UAUGUUUUCUUGGCGUGGUCGCGGAAGUAAAAGGACGCUUCCGCUACAUGCAGCGGAAGGAAAAAUCUGAUUCUCACGAGCGGCGAGUCCGUUCGCAUCGUCGAAGACAUCCCAGUGGGUCCAUUAACCCUCCUGACGGUGGGGUAAACGGCAGAAAGGAAAAAUAAACAGACGAGAGUUUCUAGGAUGGAGAAUGAAGGGUAGAAGAGCGAGAAGGAGAGGGAGACAAGAGAAGAGGGAGAGUCGAGGGUGGUGAUGGCGUGUCUGGAUAUCGAUCCUGGCUUCCGGGACGUUACCACCGUGCCCCAGCUUUCUACCCUAUAUACACUCGCCCUGUGUGCACGUAUCUAUAAACACUCGGUGCACACAUACACGCGCGUGAAUUCAGAUUCGUGCUAGCCUCGUCCAGUUUGACUUUCGUCCCUUCGUUAGGUCAAACUAUCGCGCCAAAACGCCACAUCGAAUAGCACAUAUUGUAAG
Molecule: long non-coding RNA, 480 nt
Organism: Acromyrmex echinatior (Panamanian leafcutter ant)
Lineage: Eukaryota; Metazoa; Arthropoda; Insecta; Hymenoptera; Formicidae
Source: RefSeq, a predicted model, not a curated record